GUUGUUGUUCCCUCCCUGAUGCUUCUUUUGCUGGUUACUUCUUCUUCUCUCUUCUCCGUAACUGUGGUAGCGGUGGAGAAGCUUCCGCUGAUGCUGCAUGGUUCUUCUGAGAGCUGAGACACUACCUCUGAGACUUCACCUUCUUUUUUGUUGAUGAUAAUGGGGUUGAAAAUGGGAUGUGGGUUCUUUGAUUCGAUUUUGUCAUCAGGGUUUUGAAGAGGAGGCAGAAGGGUGUCCGAUUCUGGCUUCAAAAUUGGAACUUGAUUUUGUUUGGCAAUGGGUGUUUCUGAUAGGACCUCUUUUACAGACUCUUCCACUAACACUGGUGGUGGUUGCCGCUGUGGUAUUUGUUGGUUAAGGUUUGAGUUGGGGAGAGAGGGU
RNAcentral lists this long non-coding RNA (381 nucleotides) under Arachis ipaensis. Its description in RNAcentral is "long non-coding RNA (AIPA_LNC000078)". Lineage: Eukaryota; Viridiplantae; Streptophyta; Magnoliopsida; Fabales; Fabaceae. The record is from RNAcentral.